Molecule: ribosomal RNA, 477 nt
Filed under: Triticum aestivum (bread wheat)
Lineage: Eukaryota; Viridiplantae; Streptophyta; Magnoliopsida; Poales; Poaceae
Description: partial small subunit ribosomal RNA
Source: RNAcentral
AUGAACCGUCAUGAUCGGCACGACCUCCUGGUGGAUGAGAUCGACCGCGGGCUCAAGGCGGACAGUGGUGGUGGCGUGGACCUCGUCAACUAUGGCGAUGGUGACUACCUCGGUCGGACAUUCCGUCGAACAGGUGACUGGCACCAUCUCGAUGGAAGCAGGGGACGCGCCGGGGGUGAGUUCGAGGACCUCCUGGGCGUUGCUGGUGGAAGAGGGGGCGGAGAAGACGUCGGGGACGACCGCGUGGACGACCGCAGGGACAAGGGUGUCGUCGGUAAGGCCGCCAUCGGAGGCCAGAACUGCGGAGCGCGCCGACUGCGGGGUCGAAGCUCCCGUGAUGAGCUUGGCGAACAGCGCGUCGAACAGCCUGGCACUGGCGUCAUGGCGUGCCUGAGCCUUCGCCUCGAGCUCGUCAAGGUAAGCUUUCAACUCAGGAUGCAUGGUGGUGGAGAGAAUGGUGUGAGAAAAAAAAAUUGA